This 1373-nucleotide ribosomal RNA is filed under the name uncultured bacterium. RNAcentral describes it as "bacterial SSU rRNA". It matches the Rfam family "Bacterial small subunit ribosomal RNA", at positions 28 to 1382 of the family's 1533-position model. The record is from RNAcentral.
GAUGAACGCUGGCGGCGUGCCUAAUACAUGCAAGUCGAGCGAACAGACGAGGAGCUUGCUCCUUUGACGUUAGCGGCGGACGGGUGAGUAACACGUGGGUAACCUACCUAUAAGACUGGGAUAACUUCGGGAAACCGGAGCUAAUACCGGAUAAUAUUUCGAACCGCAUGGUUCGAUAGUGAAAGAUGGCUUUGCUAUCACUUAUAGAUGGACCUGCGCCGUAUUAGCUAGUUGGUAAGGUAACGGCUUACCAAGGCAACGAUACGUAGCCGACCUGAGAGGGUGAUCGGCCACACUGGAACUGAGACACGGUCCAGACUUCUACGGGAGGCAGCAGUAGGGAAUCUUCCGCAAUGGGCGAAAGCCUGACGGAGCAACGCCGCGUGAGUGAUGAAGGUCUUCGGAUCGUAAAACUCUGUUAUUAGGGAAGAACAAACGUGUAAGUAACUGUGCACGUCUUGACGGUACCUAAUCAGAAAGCCACGGCUAACUACGUGCCAGCAGCCGCGGUAAUACGUAGGUGGCAAGCGUUAUCCGGAAUUAUUGGGCGUAAAGCGCGCGUAGGCGGUUUUUUAAGUCUGAUGUGAAAGCCCACGGCUCAACCGUGGAGGGUCAUUGGAAACUGGAAAACUUAAGUGCAGAAGAGGAAAGUGGAAUUCCAUGUGUAGCGGUGAAAUGCGCAGAGAUAUGGAGGAACACCAGUGGCGAAGGCGACUUUCUGGUCUGUAACUGACGCUGAUGUGCGAAAGCGUGGGGAUCAAACAGGAUUAGAUACCCUGGUAGUCCACGCCGUAAACGAUGAGUGCUAAGUGUUAGGGGGUUUCCGCCCCUUAGUGCUGCAGCUAACGCAUUAAGCACUCCGCCUGGGGAGUACGACCGCAAGGUUGAAACUCAAAGGAAUUGACGUGGACCCGCACAAGCGGUGGAGCAUGUGGUUUAAUUCGAAGCAACGCGAAGAACCUUACCAAAUCUUGACAUCCUUUGACCCUUCUAGAGAUAGAAGUUUCCCCUUCGGGGGACAAAGUGACAGGUGGUGCAUGGUUGUCGUCAGCUCGUGUCGUGAGAUGUUGGGUUAAGUCCCGCAACGAGCGCAACCCUUAAGCUUAGUUGCCAUCAUUAAGUUGGGCACUCUAAGUUGACUGCCGGUGACAAACCGGAGGAAGGUGGGGAUGACGUCAAAUCAUCAUGCCCCUUAUGAUUUGGGCUACACACGUGCUACAAUGGACAAUACAAAGGGCAGCGAAACCGCGAGGUCAAGCAAAUCCCAUAAAGUUGUUCUCAGUUCGGAUUGUAGUCUGCAACUCGACUACAUGAAGCUGGAAUCGCUAGUAAUCGUAGAUCAGCAUGCUACGGUGAAUACGUUCCCGGGUCUU